GCCGGAAAACGUCAUGUUGACACCCGUACUGAUGAA
Molecule: transfer RNA, 36 nt
Filed under: Ditrichum lineare
Lineage: Eukaryota; Viridiplantae; Streptophyta; Bryopsida; Pseudoditrichales; Ditrichaceae
Description: partial transfer RNA-Phe
Source: RNAcentral